This 716-nucleotide ribosomal RNA is filed under the name Bacillus sp. FJAT-4557. Its description in RNAcentral is "bacterial SSU rRNA". It matches the Rfam family "Bacterial small subunit ribosomal RNA", at positions 66 to 764 of the family's 1533-position model. Lineage: Bacteria; Bacillati; Bacillota; Bacilli; Caryophanales; Bacillaceae. The record is from RNAcentral.
GCGACAGAGAAGGAGCUUGCUCCUUUGACGUUAGCGGCGGACGGGUGAGUAACACGUGGGCAACCUACCUUAUAGUUUGGGAUAACUCCGGGAAACCGGGGCUAAUACCGAAUAAUCUGUUUCACCUCAUGGUGAAAUAUUGAAAGACGGUUUCGGCUGUCGCUAUAGGAUGGGCCCGCGGCGCAUUAGCUAGUUGGUGAGGUAACGGCUCACCAAGGCGACGAUGCGUAGCCGACCUGAGAGGGUGAUCGGCCACACUGGGACUGAGACACGGCCCAGACUCCUACGGGAGGCAGCAGUAGGGAAUCUUCCACAAUGGGCGAAAGCCUGAUGGAGCAACGCCGCGUGAGUGAAGAAGGAUUUCGGUUCGUAAAACUCUGUUGUAAGGGAAGAACAAGUACAGUAGUAACUGGCUGUACCUUGACGGUACCUUAUUAGAAAGCCACGGCUAACUACGUGCCAGCAGCCGCGGUAAUACGUAGGUGGCAAGCGUUGUCCGGAAUUAUUGGGCGUAAAGCGCGCGCAGGUGGUUUCUUAAGUCUGAUGUGAAAGCCCACGGCUCAACCGUGGAGGGUCAUUGGAAACUGGGAGACUUGAGUGCAGAAGAGGAUAGUGGAAUUCCAAGUGUAGCGGUGAAAUGCGUAGAGAUUUGGAGGAACACCAGUGGCGAAGGCGACUAUCUGGUCUGUAACUGACACUGAGGCGCGAAAGCGUGG